RNAcentral lists this ribosomal RNA (449 nucleotides) under uncultured bacterium. Its description in RNAcentral is "bacterial SSU rRNA". It matches the Rfam family "Bacterial small subunit ribosomal RNA", at positions 331 to 794 of the family's 1533-position model. The record is from RNAcentral.
CAAGACUCCUACGGGAGGCAGCAGUAGGGAAUCUUUCACAAUGGGCGAAAGCCUGAUGGAGCAACGCCGCGUGAAGGAAGAAGGCUUUCGGGUUGUAAACUUCUUUUAAGAGGGACGAAACAAAUGACGGUACCUCUUGAAUAAGCUCCGGCUAACUACGUGCCAGCAGCCGCGGUAAUACGUAGGGAGCGAGCGUUAUCCGGAUUUACUGGGUGUAAAGGGCGUGUAUGCGGGAUGGCAAGUCAGGCGUGAAAACUAUGGGCUCAACCCAUAGCCUGCGUUUGAAACUGUCGUUCUUGAGUGAUGGAGAGGCAAGCGGAAUUCCGUGUGUAGCGGUGAAAUGCGUAGAUAUACGGAGGAACACCAGUGGCGAAGGCGGCUUGCUGGACAUUAACUGACGCUGAGGCGCGAAAGCGUGGGGAGCAAACAGGAUUAGAUACCCCCGUACU